AGGUUGAGACAUUGACUUCCACUAUAUAUGGAAAAUUGAGAUAGUAAUCACUGAGAUGAGAUUGUUCUACACCGAUGGCAAGGGUAGGACAGCCCUAACCUUAUGGGGGCAAGUCGUGGUACGUCAUGGGUGCUCACAUGGUGUACAUGUCGGUUAGAAGAAUCUCCCAAAGAGUUGUCCCUCAUUCUUAGAUUGAUUUUACUUAUUUAAAAGACAUUUGAAAUGCAGAUUUAUGAUGUAUUCAAUAUUCCAGAUUUCACUAAGAUUGCUUGAUGAGAGAAUAAGAAAAGAAUCUUGAUAUUUGGAUUAAGUUAAUGGCUCAUGAUAUCCAGAUUGGCAUGUUUUACCAUUCAUUGUGUAUGAUUUCAGAUUUUAUAUUUCUUUCAAGCUUUAUGAGCCAUUUACAAAUGCCCUGCAUGAUUUGGAAAGAAAACUUAUGACAUGAUCGUUUAAAUAUAUGUAUGUAUAUAUAUAUAUGUAUGCAUAUAAAUAUGUUUAUUUCAUGCACCCCCAUGUACUUGGUACAUAUUCUAUGGCACUGACCCAUAUGUUCGCAUGUGGGCUACAUUUUCCCUAUAAUGUAGGCUCAGGUGCUCAUUCCCAGGUUUGACCGUGAUUAUCCGAGUACGUUGAUCUACAUCCUCUGCAGUGGUGAGUCCUCAUGGUCCGAGGACUAGUUAUGCUGAUUUCCUCAUUUACUUUAAGUCGUUCAUAUUAUUUCCUGAGUUCGGGUCAGUUGGGGUUUGUCCCAAUGGCUCAUGGAUAUAUAGUUUAGUAGAGGCUUGUCAGUCUAGAUGGAUAGAUUGAUCAGAUUUGUCAGAGAUGUCAUAUUUUGUUACUUUCCGUAUUUCAUUUGUAUUGCAGUAUGGUAUUAUGGAGGAUGUUUAGAUGUUUUGAUUACGAUGACUUUGAUUAUAAGUGUUAAAUGGUAGAAAAGCAGCUAAAAGGGUUAGCUUGGGGCUACUUGUAGCCUUAAGCACCGUGUGAUGCCUCAGGGCCCGUUUUCGGGGUGUUACAAACUUGGUAUCAGAGCCUAAGGUUAUUGGAGUCCUAAGGAAUCUGACAAGCCGCGUUAAGUAGAGUCUUGAUCGUUGGUGUGUAGCGCGCCACAUCUAUGAGUAAGAGGCUACGAAAUGUUUUAAAAAAAAAAGGUGGUUUCAUUCUUUCAGAAGUCUAUCAUGCUUACAGUUGUUCCUUUUCAGCUAUUAAUUCGUUCUCUCUUCUUUCGGAAUAUGCCUCUUCGCCUAGCUGGAAGAAAUAAUGUGGGUCAGCAACCUCAACCUGCUGAUCCCCCGAAUAAGAAUGUAUCCAACGCUGAGUUCAGGGCAGUCUUUCAGGCGCUUGCCUAAGCUGUUACCGCUAACAUUCAGGCCAACCAGACCCCGGCUCCAUAACAAUAGGGAGGUGACUUAGCUGCUGCAAAAAUACAUGACUUUAUGCGGAUGAAUCCACCAGAGUUUUAUGGGUCCAAGGUAGGUGAGGAUCCGCAGUUGUAUCUGGAGGAGAUAAAAAAGAUCACACAGGUAAUACACGUGUUUGAGGAGAAGAGAGUUGACUUAUCAUUCUACAGAUUGAAAGACCUUGCGUAUGACUGGGUGGUUGCAUGGAGAAAGGGUAGAGUAGAGGGUGCUGCUCCUAUGACUUGGCAGGAGUUCCAGGAUGUAUUCCUGGAUAAAUUUUUUCCGCUAGAGUUGAGAGAGGCGAAAAUAGAAGAGUUUAUGAACUUACGGCAAGGCUCCAUGACUGUUAAGGAGUAUUUCUUGAAGUUCAAUCAGUUAGCAAAAUAUGCCCCAAAUCUGAUAGCCAACAACCGAACCAGUAUGGGUAAGUUCUUGACAGGGGUGUCAAGCUAUAUGGUUAAGGAGUGUAGAUCAGCUAUACUUAAUAGUGAGAUGAAUCUUUCCAGAUUGAUGACCCAUGCCUAACAGAUCGAAUCAGAUAAGAUAAAAGAGAGCGAUAGAGUAAGGGAGAAUAAGAGAGCCAGAUCGGAGCAACCUACUUAUGGUCCGAACAGAUUGCAAGGAGGGAAACGCCCUUAGUUUCAGAGUCGCUCAUCUAUUCCAGCACCAUCAUCAGCUAGUGCUCCAGCACUUAGAGGUAGGCAAGAAUAGGGAAAUAGGUUUUCUAUGUCCGGAUCUCAGAAUACUGUGAGUAACCGGCCUAACUAUCUACCUUGCACCAGGUGUGGUAGGGAUCACAGGGGUAAGUGUUUUUGGGGUCAGAAGGGCUACUAUGGAUGUGGCCAGGAGGGCCACAGUUUUAGAGAUUGUCCUCAUACUAGACAGGGGAAUCGUGAUGUUCGCCUCCAAGCUCAGACUACUAGUGCUCCAGCUCCUGUAUCUCGUCCAGCUCCUACUUAUGGUGCUUCUUCCAGCACUGCUAGCGGUCAGCGCCAGAACAGAUUCUAUACUUUGCCUUCCUGUUAGGAGCAGGAGGACUCCGCCGAUGUUGUUACUAUUAUGCUUUGUGUGUUUCAGUUUGAUGUUUAUACGUUGUUGGACCCUGGGUCUAUUUUUUCAUAUGCGACACCUCUGUUUGCUGUAAAUUUUAAAGUGAGUCCCGAGAUUGUCUCUGAGCCCGUCCUAGUUUCUACCCCUGUGGGUGAGUCCAUUGUUGCCUGAAAAGUGUAUAAAAAGUGUCCUAUUUAUAUUCUUCAUAGAGUUAUAUUUGCUAAUCUGAUAGAGUUAGACAUGGUAGAUUUUGAUGUUAUUCUGGGUAUGGACUGGAUUCACUCUUAUUAUGCAUCCAUAGACUAUCGUACCCGUGUAGUCAAGUUUCAGUUCCCUGGUAAGUCUGUUAACGAAUGGUCUGAUAAUUCCAUAUCUCCCAAGAGUCAUUUUAUCUUAUAUCUCAAGGCUAGGAAGCUUAUUUCCAAAGGGUGCAUUUAUCACCUAGUCAGAGUUAAAGACACUAAGUCUGAGACUCCAACUCUCUAGUCAGUUGACGUUGUUAAUGAGUUUCCCGGUGUCUUUCCAGAAGAUCUUCCAGGGGUACCUCUCGAUAGAGAGAUAGAAUUCGAGAUUGAUCUUCUUUUCGAUACUCAGCCCAUUUUCAUUCUUCCAUAUCGUAUGGCACCCGCAGAACUUAAGGAGUUGAAAGAGCAACUUAAAGAUCUCUUAAAUAAAGGUUUUAUAAGACCAAGUGUGUCUCCUUGGGGUGCACCUUUCCUAUUCGUUCGGAAGAAAGAUGGCUCUUUGUGCAUGUACAUUGACUAUCGCCAGCUUAACAAAGUCACUAUCAAAAACAAGUAUCCCCUUCCAAGAAUAGAUGAUUUGUUUGAUCAAUUGCAAGGUGCAAGUUACUUCUCAAAGAUAGACCUUCGCUCUGGCUAUCAUCAACUCAGAGUUAGGGAUGUGAUAUCCCGAAGACAGCCUUCCGAACACGUUAUGGUCAUUUUGAGUUUCUUGUUAUGUCAUUUGGGCUAACUAAUGCCCCAGCAGCUUUCAUGGACCUCAUGAAUUGAGUGUUCAGGCCAUAUCUUUAUAUGUUUGUCAUAGUGUUUAUAGACGACAUUCUGGUAUACUCCUGUAGUGAGAAUGAACAUACAUAUCAUCUCCAUAUCAUCUUGCAAACCCUUAGAGAUCAUCACUUAUUCUCCAAAUUUAGCAAGUGUGAAUUUUAGCUAAGGUCAAUUGAUUUUCUAGGUUAUAUUAUUUCUUCCGAAGGUGUUAGAGUUGAUCCCCAGAAAACAGAAGCUGUUAGAAACUGGCCUAGACCUGUCUCUCCGCCCGACAUUAGAAGUUUCUUGGGUCUAGCUAUCUAUUACCGCCUUUUUGUUGAAGGUUUCUCCUCUAUAGCAUCUCUUAUGACCCGGUUGACCCAAAAGAAAGUGAAGUUCUUGUGGUCCGACUCACUACAGCCCCUUUUUUGACUCUACCUGAUGGCGUUGAUGGUUUUGUGGUAUAUUUUGAUGCUUCUAUAGUUUGUUUGGGUUGUGUACUGAUGCAAAGAGGUAAGGUUAUAGCCUAUGCCUCUAGACAGCUGAAACCCCAUGAAAAGAAUUACCCCAUCCAUGAUCUUGAGUUAGCUAUUGUUGUGUUUGCUCUGAAAAUCUGGAGACACUACUUGUAUGGUGUUCAUGUUGAUGUUUUCACUGAUCAUAAGAGUCUGUAGUAUAUUUUUACCCAGAGAGAGUUGAAUCUUAGGCAGAGAAGGUGGUUAGAGUUAUUGAAAGACUACGAUAUGAGUGUGUUGUAUUACCCGAGAAAGGCCAAUGUAGUGGCAGAUGCCCUUAGCAGGAUGUCUAUGGGUAGUGUUUUGCAUAUUGAAGAGGGUAAGAAGGAGUUGGCUCGUAAUGUACAUCGGUUGGCUAGGUUGGGAAUUAGGUUGCUUGACUCCGCUGAAAGGAGUAUGUUAGUACAGAGUAGCUCCGAAUCCUCCUUGGUUUCAUAAGUAAAGGAGAAGCAAAACUUAGAUGCUAGUUUGGUCAGACUGAAAGAAUCAGUCAAGGACCAAAAGGUGGAGGUUUUCUUCCAAGGGGUGGAUGGUGUGCUGAGAUUGUGGGAUAGAUUAUGUAUUCCGAAUGUCGAAGAUCUGAGGCAGAGAAUUAUGGCUGAAACGCAUGGUGCACGAUAUUUUAUUCAUCCUGAUGCCACCAAGAUGUACUGCGACUUGCGAGAAAUGUAUUGGUGGAGUGGCAUGAAGAAGGAUAUAGCAGCAUUUGUGGCUAAGUGUGCAAUGUGCCAACAGGUUAAGGUAGAACACCAAAGACCUGGUGGUAUGAUGUAGGAGUUCGGUAUUUCCACUUGGAAGUGGAAAGAGAUAAACAUGGAUUUUGUGACUGGUUUACCUCCUUCUCGAUGUCAUCAUGAUUCCAUUUGGGUUGUUAUGGAUAGAUUGACUAAGUCUGUGCACUUUUUGCCUGUGCAUACUUCUUAUACUACUGAGGAUUACGCUAGAUUGUACAUCCGGGAAUUAGUCAGAUUGCAUGGAGUUUCUUUGUCCAUCAUUUUAGAUAGGGGUACUCAAUUCACUUCGCAGUUUUGGAAAGCUUCUCAGAAGGGUCUUGGUACCCAAGUACAUUUGAGUUCUGCUUUCCAUCCGCAGACAGAUGGUCAGGCUGAGAGGACCAUCCAGACCUUAGAGGAUAUGUUGAGAGCGUGUGCUCUUGACUUUAAGGGGAGUUGGGAUGAGCAUUUACCGUUGAUAGAGUUUGCUUACAAUAACAGUUUUCACUCUAGCAUUGGCAUGGCUCCAUUUGAGGCUUUGUAUGGGCGGAAAUGUAGGUCACCCAUAGGUUGGUUUGAAGUGGGUGAAGCGGCCGUGAGUGGUCCUGAUUCGGUCUUUGAAGCUAUGGAAAAGUCAAAGUAAUUAGAGAAAGUUUAAAAACCGCACAGAGUCGCCAGAAAUCGUAUGCUGAUAUGAGGAGAAGAGACCUUGAAUUUGAAGUUUGUGACUUGGUGUAUUUGAAGAUUUCACCCAUGAAGGGAGUGAAGAGAUUCAGAAAGAAGGGGAAACUUAGUCCCUGUUAUGUUGGCCCCUACAUAGUUCUUAGCCAUGUUGGUAAGGUAGCGUAUGAGGUUGAGUUGCCUUCAGAGUUAUCUUCCGUUCACUCUGUCUUCUAUGUAUCUAUGCUUAGGAAACAUAUUAGUGAUUGUGUUGUUGUAGAUCCAUCAGAAAACCCUGAUGUGCAAGAUAGUCUUUCUUUUGAGGAGGUUCCUGUUGAGAAUUUAGAUAACCAAGUUCGAAGACUAACGAACAAAGAAGUUCCCUUGGUCAAGGAGUUGUGGCGAAACCAAUCCGUUGAGGGAGCAAAAUGGGAAGCUGAGGCGGACAUGCGAUCCAAGUACCCGCACCUAUUUUCCAUAAGCUCCGAUCAAGCCGAAGGUACCAUUCUGCUUUAAAUCAUUCCUUUUCUAUGUAGAGUUGCAGUAGUUCAGCAGUUAUUUUAUACUAUUCAGCUGUGAUUUCAUGAGUGAUGCACCCCUUGUUGUAUGCGAAAUGUAGAAUGAAAUAGAGGCAAGAUUAGCAAGUUGCUUCAGUUGUGUACCCUUCAUUUUUACUUUACUCUUAGUAUACCCAGCAUCAUUCGAGGAUAAAUGUCCCCGGGGGGGGAGGGGGGGGAGAUAUUGUAAUGCCCCACACUUUCCUAAGCUGUGAUUUCUGAGUGAUGCACCCCUUGUUGUAUGCGAAAUGUAGAAUGAAAUAGAGGCAAGAUUAGCAAGUUGCUUCAGUUGUGUACCCUUCAUUUUUACUUUACUCUUAGUAUACCCAGCAUCAUUCGAGGAUAAAUGUCCCCGGGGGGGGAGGGGGGGGAGAUAUUGUAAUGCCCCACACUUUCCUAAGCUAGAAAAUGAAUUGUUGUUCGUUUAUGUGAAAACCCCAAUUUUGUAAGCCAUAUUUGGACACCUAAAUUACCAAGAGUACCCUAGUUACAAGAGAGCUUAUGAUGUGUUAAGUGUGGUUAUAUGAUUCACUAAAGGUAGUACAAGCUAAGAGUUUCGAAAUCCAUCAAGUUUUAGUGUUUGAAUUCACAGGGGUCAUCUUUGAAUGAGCAUAACUUGAUAAAUAUGUAGUAUUUCUGCAUAUUUCUACCCGCAAAAUUAUAGAGAAUCGAAUUAGCUUUCCAACGAUACCAAUUUUACCAAAAUCUGACACCUGAGCUAGGAGUUAUGACUUUGCGAAGUAGAGUGCGUCAUCUAACCAUCGCACAUGGCCACUGGAAAGCAUAUGCGAUAGCAUAUGCGGUGCCUAUGUAAAUAUAGGCGAUAUCAUAUGCGGCACCUAUGUAAAUAUAGGCGAUAUCAUAUGCAGCGCCUAUGUGAAUAUAUACGAUAUCAUAUGUGGCGUAUAUCUUAUGGUUUCAAGUGACUUAAACACUCCAUUUUUGGGUUAUUUUGAGGGCAAUUAAGUCUUUUGGCACUCCUUACAUACCCCUAAACUUAACCUUACGAAUUUAAUAGAUUCUAAACACAUCAUAACCCUAUUAUCAUUCUAAGUUCAUCAUCCAAGAGCACUAAAGGAGAAAAACAACUAGGGUUACACAAUCAACNNNNNNNNNNNNNNNNNNNNNNNNNNNNNNNNNNNNNNNNNNNNNNNNNNNNNNNNNNNNNNNNNNNNNNNNNNNNNNNNNNNNNNNNNNNNNNNNNNNNNNNNNNNNNNNNNNNNNNNNNNNNNNNNNNNNNNNNNNNNNNNNNNNNNNNNNNNNNNNNNNNNNNNNNNNNNNNNNNNNNNNNNNNNNNNNNNNNNNNNNNNNNNNNNNNNNNNNNNNNNNNNNNNNNNNNNNNNAAAAUCCACUUUAUGAAAUGAGUUACGGAUUUUAUCAUUUAUUUAACUUAAGAAAUAUGAGAUUACCCUUAAAGUGAAUUUCUCUUGAGAUUUUUUAGCAUAGUAUUGGGAGUAGUAUUUAGCACCGAGUUGGGUAUGUUACUACGAUUUCAUAUCCUAGAACUACGUGCCACCGUAGGUUGAGACAUUGACCUCCACUAAAUGUGAAAAAUUAAGAUAGUGAUCACUGAGAUGAGAUUGUUCUACACCGAUGGCAAGGGUAGGACAGCCCUAACCUUACGGGGGCAAGUCGUGGGACAUCAUGGGUGCUCACAUGGUGUACAUGUCGGUUAGAAGAACCUCCCAAAGAGUCGUCCCUCAUUCUUAGAUUGAUUUUACUGAUUUAAAAGACAUUUGAAAUGCAGAUUUAUGAUGUAUUCAAUAUUCCAAAUUUCACUAAG
RNAcentral lists this long non-coding RNA (7667 nucleotides) under Capsicum annuum. RNAcentral's name for it is "long non-coding RNA (CANN_LNC010024)". Lineage: Eukaryota; Viridiplantae; Streptophyta; Magnoliopsida; Solanales; Solanaceae. The record is from RNAcentral.